AGUAAUGACUCAAUUUAUCAAAAUUCAAUUAUCAAAUUAUAGCUAAGUUCAAUAAAUAUUGCCGUUCUCGGAGUGAAUUUUAUUCACUUUUCCUUUUGCAUCAGGCGUUGUCAAUUUCAGUUCGAUAUAGCCAUGAACACAAAACUGCUUGCAACACUUGUGAUGGUGGUUCUAAUGGUAUCCACAGUUAGCGUAGUCACCUUUGAACUUGGCUGUGACUAUUCUCGCCAAAUGUGCCAACUUGGAUGCAAGACGAGAAAUCUCAAUUUUCUCCAAAAACUGGACUGCAACAACCAAUGCGAGUCUUCCUUUGUGAUCUGCAAAUGGCAAAACUGAAAUUCACAAAUAACUUGUGUCAAUGUGUUGAAAACUGAAUAAAUCAGUUAAAGCAACAAA
Long non-coding RNA from Magallana angulata, 396 nucleotides. RefSeq lists it as uncharacterized. Lineage: Eukaryota; Metazoa; Mollusca; Bivalvia; Ostreida; Ostreidae. The record is from RefSeq and is a predicted model, not a curated record. The transcript is spliced from 3 exons.